GUAACAGGUGUGUUUAUUGAUCGGGUAACAGGUGAGUUUAUUGAUCAGGUAAUAGGUGAGUUUAUUGAUCAGGUAACAGGUGUGUUUAUUGAUCAGGUAACAGGUGAGUUUAUUGAUCAGGUAACAGGUGUGUUUAUUGAUCUGGUAACAGGUGAGUUUAUUGAUCAGGUAACAGGUGUGUUUAUUGAUCUGGUAACAGGUGAGUUUAUUGAUCAGGUAACAGGUGUGUUUAUUGAUCAGGUGUAUCCCACCGUGGCUCGGUCGUUGGGGAUGGGCUUCUGUACGUCGUUUAGUCGGAUUGGAGGAAUGAUCGCUCCGUUCAUCGCUCAGGUGUUGAUGUCUCAGUCGGUGAUUCUGGCUCUCAGCCCCUUUGCCAUGGCCUGUGUGAUAUGCGCUCUGGCAAACCUGUUCCUGCCCAUCGAAACCAAGGGGCGAGCUCUGCUGCAAAGCUCCUGAUGACGUCUCCAAACUGUUUUGUUGUUACAUUAAACCUGUUACUGAAAUCAGCUGUUUGUAAGUUUGUUGAUAAAUUAUUAAAAUAUGAUCAAAACCUU
Pseudoliparis swirei is the source of this 554-nucleotide long non-coding RNA. RefSeq lists it as uncharacterized. The transcript has 3 exons. NCBI's taxonomy places the organism in Eukaryota, Metazoa, Chordata, Actinopteri, Perciformes, Liparidae. The record is from RefSeq and is a predicted model, not a curated record.